This 1231-nucleotide ribosomal RNA is filed under the name Anguillanella sp. 1 GP-2019. RNAcentral describes it as "SSU rRNA". It matches the Rfam family "Eukaryotic small subunit ribosomal RNA", at positions 79 to 1296 of the family's 1831-position model. Lineage: Eukaryota; Metazoa; Arthropoda; Malacostraca; Bathynellacea; Bathynellidae. The record is from RNAcentral.
AGGUGAAACCGCGAAUGGCUCAUUAAAUCAGUUGUGGUUCCUGGGAGCCAAUGCUGUCCUACUUGGAUAACUGUGGUAAUUCUAGAGCUAAUACAUGCCUCGAAGCUCGGACCCGCGAGGGAAAGAGCGCAGUUAUUAGAUCAAAACCGAUCGGGCCUUCGGGCCCGUCCCAACCUUGAUGACUCUGGAUAACCACAUGCCGAGCGCAUGGCCUCCGUGCCGGCGCCCUAUCCUUCAAGUGUCUGCCUUAUCAGCUGUCGAUGGUAGGCUAUGCGCCUACCAUGGCUAUCACGGGUAACGGGGAAUCAGGGUUCGAUUCCGGAGAGGGAGCCUGAGAAACGGCUACCACAUCUAAGGAAGGCAGCAGGCACGCAAAUUACCCACUCCCGGCUCGGGGAGGUAGUGACGAAAAAUAACGAUGCGGGACUCUUUACGAGGCCCCGCAAUCGGAAUGAGUACACAUUAAAUCCUUUAACGAGGAUCCAUUGGAGGGCAAGUCUGGUGCCAGCAGCCGCGGUAAUUCCAGCUCCAAUAGCGUAUAUUAAAGUUGCUGCGGUUAAAAAGCUCGUAGUCGAGAGCCUGUGUCGGACCGACGGUGCGCCGCCCGGCGUGACUGUCGGCUUUCCGCACAGCUCGCCGGCCAGCACGGGGUGCUCUUCACCGAGUGUCCCGGGCGGUCGACAAGUUUACUUUGAAAAAAUUAGAGUGCUCAAAGCAGGCCCUAGUGCCCGCAUAUCUGUGCAUGGAAUGAUGGAAUAGGACUUCGGUCUUAUUUUGUUGGUUUUCGAGACCCGAGGUAAUGAUGAAUGGAAUCUGUCGGGGGCAUUCGUAUUGCGACGCUAGAGGUGAAAUUCUUGGACCGUCGCAAGACGAACAACUGCGAAAGCAUUUGCCAAGUAUGCUUUCAUUGAUCAAGAACGAAAGUCAGAGGUUCGAAGGCGAUCAGAUACCGCCCUAGUUCUGACCGUAAACGAUGCCAACUAGCGAUCCGCCGGUGUCAAUACCAUGAUCUGGCGGGCAGCUUCCGGGAAACCAAAGUCUUUGGGUUCCGGGGGAAGUAUGGUUGCAAAGCUGAAACUUAAAGGAAUUGACGGAAGGGCACCACCAGGAGUGGAGCCUGCGGCUUAAUUUGACUCAACACGGGGAACCUCACCAGGCCAGGACGCUGUUAGGAUUGACAGAUUAAGAGCUCUUUCUCGAUUCAGUGGGUGGUGGUGCAUGGCCGUUCUUA